UACGAAGGUUGCAAGCGUUACUCGGAAUUACUGGGCGUAAAGCGUGCGUAGGUGGUUUGUUAAGUCUGUUGUGAAAGCCCCGGGCUCAACCUGGGAAUGGCAAUGGAUACUGGCAAGCUAGAGUGCGGUAGAGGGUAGUGGAAUUCCCGGUGUAGCGGUGAAAUGCGUAGAGAUCGGGAGGAACACCAGUGGCGAAGGCAGCACUCUGGGACGGUACUGACGCUGAGACGCGAAAGCGUGGGGAGCGAACAGG
This 253-nucleotide ribosomal RNA is filed under the name uncultured bacterium. RNAcentral describes it as "partial 16S ribosomal RNA". It matches the Rfam family "Bacterial small subunit ribosomal RNA", at positions 524 to 776 of the family's 1533-position model. The record is from RNAcentral.